CCGCUGGAUGAUGAAGAGCUCAUUGAGUACAUCCUCACCGGGCUAGAUGAAGAUUUUACUCCUCUAGUUUCUGCUAUUGUUGCCAGGGUAGGACCCAUCUUAGUUGGGGAGCUAUAUUCUCAUCUUCUGAACUUUGAGA
This 139-nucleotide small nucleolar RNA is filed under the name Setaria italica (foxtail millet). RNAcentral describes it as "Small nucleolar RNA Z247". It matches the Rfam family "Small nucleolar RNA Z247". Rfam says of the family: Z247 is a member of the C/D class of snoRNA which contain the C (UGAUGA) and D (CUGA) box motifs. Most of the members of the box C/D family function in directing site-specific 2'-O-methylation of substrate RNAs. Lineage: Eukaryota; Viridiplantae; Streptophyta; Magnoliopsida; Poales; Poaceae. The record is from Rfam by way of RNAcentral.